UACGGGGGGGGCAAGCGUUGUUCGGAAUUACUGGGCGUAAAGGGCUCGUAGGCGGCCAACUAAGUCAGACGUGAAAUCCCUCGGCUUAACCGGGGAACUGCGUCUGAUACUGGAUGGCUUGAGAUUGGGAGAGGGAUGCGGAAUUCCAGGUGUAGCGGUGAAAUGCGUAGAUAUCUGGAGGAACACCGGUGGCGAAGGCGGCUUCUUGGGCCGUUCCUGACGCUGAGGCGCGAAAGCCAGGGGAGCGAACGGG
This 253-nucleotide ribosomal RNA is filed under the name uncultured bacterium. RNAcentral describes it as "partial 16S ribosomal RNA". It matches the Rfam family "Bacterial small subunit ribosomal RNA", at positions 524 to 776 of the family's 1533-position model. The record is from RNAcentral.